Anas platyrhynchos (mallard) is the source of this 3663-nucleotide non-coding RNA. The record is from RefSeq and is a predicted model, not a curated record. NCBI's taxonomy places the organism in Eukaryota, Metazoa, Chordata, Aves, Anseriformes, Anatidae.
ACUAUAAAUUAUUUAAUUCCUUCUCAGCUGUUUGAAUGCUUGUUUCAGGUUAGGCUUUACAGGGAUUUGUUAAUUUGUUUCUGGUACUGCCAGAAUGCAUUAGGGCCAUUUCCAGCUAGAAGGAGACAUGCUUCCUGCUCCCCAGGCUGUAACGUGAAGGAUCUGAUCUUCAGCACAGGGCCGGGGCCAGGAAGCUUUGCUCCUGCUGUACACAGCCAGCUGGAAGGCAGCACGCAGCAAGGUCCCUCAGCACUCGGUCUUCACUCAGCACUUCACGGCCAAGGGGAAAGCAGGCGCUGCAAGGUGGGAUAAGCACCAUGCUUGUCCACCAGCAUCUGUCCAAAACGGUGCUGGCGGGGCCAGAUGAAGGGACCCAGACACCACUUUUCCAUGGCUGGGCUGAAGCAAGGGUGCUGUGUGGCUUUCUCAGCCUCAAAGCUUUUGUGCAGCUUGCUGUCAGCCUUUGCGCUCAAGAUUAUUUCAGACUGAGUGAGCAGCAGACUUAAGACUUUAGAAAUCUUGUUUAUAACAUUCCUUUUGCCCAAAAUGCUCAUGUUACCUGCUUGUCAAAUGUAAGGCCGUCAGAUAAUCAAGCCCCGUUGGCUCUGCGAGGCUCUAUUUAGCAAAUUAAAGGAGCGGUAACCCUAGCUAACAAUAAGAGCGCGCAGAAGAACUCCUGCACACCCACCAGACCUGCCAUAUUCCUUCCACUAGAGGACGGUAGCUCUUGUACACAGCCAUCAGCAGCCUUUUACAACAGAAGCUCGAAUAAAGCAGCCCAACCCUUCCUGUAGAAACAUGUUCCUUUCUAGUGGUUUUCACAUAAUGAAUCCCAGUGAAUAUUUAACUAAGUCUCCCCUGUAAUCAAGUUUCUGGCCUCCUCGCUUGUAUCCACAAUGUAAAACAUUUCCUGAUCUAUUGCAUUUAGCAGCCCUGGAAGCCUCCCGCAGUAUCUGUUUCUCUGCUCAGCUGGCAUCAGAAGAGCUGCGUGAUUGUUGUUGGGUUUUCUCAUCCAGCAAGCGCUGAUACAAACGGUGCUACCUGUUGAGAGACGGGAAGGAUCUUUGGGACCUCAACCUGGCCAUGUAAAUCAUAAGCAGGCCUUCUCUUCAAGGCCUGAAACGCUGCUCUGUGUUCAUAGGUAUAAGAACAUUCAUUGCUGUGGGCAUGAAUAUUCAGCGAUCCAAGUCUAGAUUUCAUGCAAACUGAGCCGUCCUCUAAUCCUCCCCUUAAAACACAGAAACAUGAAGGAAAAAAAGUGUGUCUGGGUCUGCAUGAAGGUGGAUUUGGGCCUGCGGUGACUUGGAAAACCUUUCUGGGGUAAAACCUACGGCCUUUGUUUAAGGAACUCCGCGUGUCUAUAUCAAAUAGCAAAUCUCUGUUUGUGCCUGAGCUUUGUCUGCCAGACCAUUACCUUUUCACCUCAUUUUUGGACUUGUGAACGUGGUUAUGGAGUUAACAAACAAGGGCUGUUAAACCUCGAGGCACCUCUGUUUACACAGAGGCUUUCUUGGGCAGGACAGUGGCUUCUCUCCAAGGCAGUCCGGUUUCUCAGGUGAAAUGGUGGGUGCCUCAAUCACCUGGCACAGGGGGCGAGGAGCUCCUCUCACCUUGGGGACUGGGGUGGCAAAAGGCAUGGCUUUCGCUGGAGGAGACACACAGGGGAUGAAGCAAAUUCCUGCGAAAACUCUGGUAGGAGACGGAGGAGUGAAAUUAUGUGUGAAGGCCGGAAAGGGAAGAGGGAACAUGAGGUGAGACUUCUUACUUACAGCCAUUGGAGGGGUGAGGAGAAUGAGGCAGGGAAAUAGUCGCAGGCAUUUAGUACUGCAUUACUGUCGUAUGUUCCAGGGCUGUAGAAAGGGAAAAAAAAAAAAAAAAAAGACUUUUAUGUUAUUUUUUGAACUUCUGCAGUCUCCAUGCCUGGCUGUGACUGGGCCUCCGUGAGAGCUGGGGAUGUGGACUGUGGCUCUCCAGUGAAGGAGGUGAGAAGCAGGAGGGGUCUGCAGGGAUGUGGUACCCUGGGUUUGGGACCCUGCCCAUGAGGAAGAGCACAGUGCCUGCCCCGUGGAUCCCUGCCACCAAGUUUUCUGCCACUCCCAGGGCUUAAACUGUAACAGGAGCCCUGGUGCAAGCCCCGCUGAGCACCUCCUGCUCUGAGGUUGUGCCUGGAAGUCAUCGCUCGCUCGCUCGCUGAACCCUGUGGUGUCACCAGAGAAAAAUCCCAUCUGAUGUAACGUUGCAGGGGAAGCUGCCACAACCACCAGUUGGUCUAGUUAGACAACAGAGCUUUAGUGAAACAAACCAGCGUGUAUUGAUCAACUGGAAACAGAAAGUGUGCGGGCCAACAAGCCAAAUGUAUUCAAGAUCUGUAACAGAAAGACAAAUGGUCUUUGCAGCCUUUGUCUUCUCAUUUUUGUAAGUCUGCCUCUGUCUUGCUGUGCCCUGCUCAGCGCUGAGAAGGGUUUUAUUCACAUGGCUUCUGCUUAGGGGGAUUCACUUUUUAAAGUUAUUCUCCAACGUGUGCUUCCUUCCCCUGUCUUAGAAGAGAUGCUAUUCCACAGCAGCCAGAGGUGCUCUACCAGGACACUCUGUAACAUUUUUUUUUAUGAAGGAAUAUAUAAUAAAUUGAGGAUUUUCUUUUAUUUUGAUAAUUUAGUACUCAAUAUCUGCAUUAUGGAAGUGCCUGGAGGUUCCAGCUGAGCUCAGUGUCUUAUUGUUCUAAGCCAUGCAUAAAAGCAUGGUCAGAAAUGAGGAGCUUACCAUCUAAAUGGAUGAGAUGAAUAAAGGGUGGGAGACAGGAAACAUCUAUUAUCCUCAUUUCAUAGCUAGAAAGUUUGGACAUAGGCAGAUUAAGUGACUUUCCCAGGACUGUAUAGGAAAACUGAUGUAGAAGGACAGAAAGCUUCAAAUGUCCUGUACCCCAGUGUAAUACCCUGAUCAUAACACACCACAUUUCCUGUUUAAAUAUAUCUCACAACAUUUAUUAAUAACAACAAGUAUUUUUUGGAAUCUGUUCCUUAAGACGUACAAAAUGAGAGGCGUACCAGAGAAGUUACAUGGCUACAGGGCAUAAAAAUCUGGAGGGAGUUCUGGCAUUAAGUGCCAUUACAAAACAUCACUACAAUGGUGAAAAUAAUCUCUUUUCUCAGUACUGCCUGAAUUAAUCUCUCUUAGAAGAUUCUGCUGUGCAUAAUGGAGAGGAAGAUCAAAAAUCAAUAAGCAAAAGACGUUAACUUUCCACAUGCUGUAGUUCAACCAAAACGAGUUUUGUUGUUGAUAAACACCCAGUAAAACUAUCCCUUUAUGGCAGUCCCCCUUCCUAUGCACAUUUUGCUGCAAAAGAACUCGGUAGACAAUGGUUCACACUUUCAUGGAUAAUUACUGAAUGUAGUGACAUGAAAGAAAUUCUUAUCUCAUUUUUUCAGUUAAGCAGCAUCUUGGAGUAACAUAGAGAAGACUAGAGAUGGAAGUUUCUCAGUAGCAGUUUUUAUAUUAGGAUGGGUUCGUGUUUAUAUCAGCAUGAAGUGAUUUUCCCUCAGGACUCAGACAAAUACAUGAAGCAAUUUUGCCUAUCUCUGAAAAUUAAAGGAUACAAUCUACUGAGACCAGAUUUUCAGAAGUGGGUUCCUUUGGCACCCUAAAAAACACAGUUCAAAGCUGCCA